This 404-nucleotide ribosomal RNA is filed under the name Actinomycetes bacterium. Its description in RNAcentral is "Actinobacteria bacterium partial 16S ribosomal RNA". It matches the Rfam family "Bacterial small subunit ribosomal RNA", at positions 355 to 776 of the family's 1533-position model. RNAcentral also lists the same sequence under 1 other name. The record is from RNAcentral. Lineage: Bacteria; Bacillati; Actinomycetota; Actinomycetes.
UGGGGAAUAUUGGACAAUGGGCGCAAGCCUGAUCCAGCCAUGCCGCGUGAGUGAUGAAGGCCCUAGGGUUGUAAAGCUCUUUCACCGGUGAAGAUAAUGACGGUAACCGGAGAAGAAGCCCCGGCUAACUUCGUGCCAGCAGCCGCGGUAAUACGAAGGGGGCUAGCGUUGUUCGGAUUUACUGGGCGUAAAGCGCACGUAGGCGGACUAUUAAGUCAGGGGUGAAAUCCCGGGGCUCAACCCCGGAACUGCCUUUGAUACUGGUAGUCUUGAGUUCGAGAGAGGUGAGUGGAAUUCCGAGUGUAGAGGUGAAAUUCGUAGAUAUUCGGAGGAACGCCAGUGGCGAAGGCGGCUCACUGGCUCGAUACUGACGCUGAGGUGCGAAAGCGUGGGGAGCAAACAGG